RNAcentral lists this ribosomal RNA (426 nucleotides) under uncultured bacterium. Its description in RNAcentral is "bacterial SSU rRNA". It matches the Rfam family "Bacterial small subunit ribosomal RNA", at positions 354 to 796 of the family's 1533-position model. The record is from RNAcentral.
GUAAAGAAUCUUCCACAAUGGGCGCAAGCCUGAUGGAGCGAUACCGCGUGAAUGAUGAAGGUCGAAAGAUUGUAAAAUUCUUUUCUGAGGGAAGAACUAUGACGGUACCUCAGGAAUAAGCACCGGCUAACUCCGUGCCAGCAGCCGCGGUAAUACGGAGGGUGCAAGCGUUACCCGGAAUUAUUGGGCGUAAAGCGUCCGCAGGUGGUUAAUUAAGUUGAAUAUUAAAUCUGAAGGCUCAACCUUCAGGCUGUAUUCAAAACUAAUUGACUAGAGACUUCCAGAGGCAAGUGGAAUUCUGUGUGUAGGGGUAAAAUCCGUAGAUACACAGAGGAACACCAAAAGCGAAGGCAGCUUGCUGGGGAAGUUCUGACACUCAUGGACGAAAGCGUGGGGAGCGAACGGGAUUAGAAACCCCAGUAGUCC